Molecule: long non-coding RNA, 206 nt
Filed under: Mytilus galloprovincialis (Mediterranean mussel)
Lineage: Eukaryota; Metazoa; Mollusca; Bivalvia; Mytilida; Mytilidae
Source: RNAcentral
UGUUUGUGUAGUUAACAGGUAAUACUCUUUUCUCAUUUUUAUAUGGAUUAGACCGUUGGUUUACCUGUUUGAAUUGUUUAAGGGCUCUUUAUAUAUCACUAUUUAUAACGGAUAUAACAUAUCUAGGACCAGUAUUUAAAUAAUUCAAGAAAAUCCUUCGUACUACCAAAAUCUGUAUAAAUGUACUGUUUUAACUGUAUUUCUGC